This is a non-coding RNA of Pelobates cultripes (western spadefoot toad), 436 nucleotides long. The record is from the annotation of a GenBank genome assembly. Lineage: Eukaryota; Metazoa; Chordata; Amphibia; Anura; Pelobatidae.
GGGAGGGAGAGGAAGGGAGAGAGGACCCGGGAGCUCUUACCUGCAGCUCCUCCGGGUCCUCCUCUCGCGAGCAUGGAGCGUUGCCGCGGUUACCAUGGCAAUGCUCCAAAUCUCGCGAGAGUGAACUCUAGCCCUGGAGUGCGGGCUAGAGUUCACCUCAACACUGGGCCACCAGGGAUUCCCCACCGGACCACCAGGAAUCCUGAAAUGUCCCCCCUCCACCCAGUGAAGGUAAGAAGGGAGGGGGGACAUCAAUAUAUUUAUUUUAAUUAAAUAAAAAAAAAUUAAAAAGCCUCCCUACCCUCCUUCUCCCCCCAUACAAACACUGACCCCCAUACACACACUACACACACUGCCCCACAAACACUGCCCCCAUACACACACUGCCCCAAAAACACUGCCCCCAUACACACACUACACACACUGCCCACAAAAC